CAUGGCCACGUUUUCACAUUCAUGAAUGAGCGGAUGUUGUACUGGAUGGCGUAAAUUGAUUCUCUGGUUGACAGAAAGGAUGGAGUGGCAUGAUAGCGGACUAGAUGCAAGGACUGACAGUCAUGCUAAGCUCAUGAGGCAUUUUAUAUACUUCAAGAAUAAAUGGAUACAGGUGGUUGACAGAAAGCUUUGCCCAGAUGUCUACUAUUCCUCACCUCCUCUCCAUCAUCUUGGUGAACUCUCUCCUCAUGAGGAA
Molecule: long non-coding RNA, 256 nt
Organism: Salmo salar (Atlantic salmon)
Lineage: Eukaryota; Metazoa; Chordata; Actinopteri; Salmoniformes; Salmonidae
Source: RefSeq, a predicted model, not a curated record